AGAGUUUGAUCAUGGCUCAGAGUGAACGCUGGCGGCAGGCCUAACACAUGCAAGUCGAACGGCAGCACAGGGGAGCUUGCUCCCCGGGUGGCGAGUGGCGGACGGGUGAGGAAUACAUCGGAAUCUACCUUGUCGUGGGGGAUAACCUCGGGAAACCGGGACUAAUACCGCAUACGACCUACGGGUGAAAGCGGAGGACCGCAAGGCUUCGCGCGAUUGGAUGAGCCGAUGUCGGAUUAGCUUGUUGGCGGGGUAACGGCCCACCAAGGCGACGAUCCGUAGCUGGUCUGAGAGGAUGAUCAGCCACACUGGAACUGAGACACGGUCCAGACUCCUACGGGAGGCAGCAGUGGGGAAUAUUGGACAAUGGGCGCAAGCCUGAUCCAGCCAUGCCGCGUGAGUGAAGAAGGCCCUCGGGUUGUAAAGCUCUUUUGUCCGGAAAGAAAAGCUUUCGGUUAAUACCCGGAAGUCCUGACGGUACCGGAAGAAUAAGCACCGGCUAACUUCGUGCCAGCAGCCGCGGUAAUACGAAGGGUGCAAGCAUUACUCGGAAUUACUGGGCGUAAAGCGUGCGUAGGUGGUUUGUUAAGUCUGUCGUGAAAGCCCCGGGCUCAACCUGGGAAUGGCGAUGGAUACUGGCAAGCUAGAGUGUGUCAGAGGAUGGUGGAAUUCCCGGUGUAGCGGUGAAAUGCGUAGAGAUCGGGAGGAACACCAGUGGCGAAGGCGGCCAUCUG
This 734-nucleotide ribosomal RNA is filed under the name uncultured Luteimonas sp. RNAcentral describes it as "bacterial SSU rRNA". It matches the Rfam family "Bacterial small subunit ribosomal RNA", at positions 8 to 731 of the family's 1533-position model. The record is from RNAcentral. Lineage: Bacteria; Pseudomonadati; Pseudomonadota; Gammaproteobacteria; Lysobacterales; Lysobacteraceae.